UGGGGAAUAUUGCACAAUGGGCGAAAGCCUGAUGCAGCGACGCCGCGUGAGGGAUGACGGCCUUCGGGUUGUAAACCUCUUUCAGUAGGGACGAAGCGCAAGUGACGGUACCUGCAGAAGAAGCACCGGCUAACUACGUGCCAGCAGCCGCGGUAAUACGUAGGGUGCGAGCGUUGUCCGGAAUUACUGGGCGUAAAGAGCUCGUAGGCGGUUUGUCACGUCGUCUGUGAAAUCCUAGGGCUUAACCCUGGACGUGCAGGCGAUACGGGCUGACUUGAGUACUACAGGGGCGACUGGAAUUUCUGGUGUAGCGGUGGAAUGCACAGAUAUCAGGAAGAACACCGAUGGCGAAGGCAGGUCUCUGGGUAGUAACUGACGCUGAGGAGCGAAAGCAUGGGUAGCGAACAGG
This 409-nucleotide ribosomal RNA is filed under the name bacterium. RNAcentral's name for it is "partial 16S ribosomal RNA". It matches the Rfam family "Bacterial small subunit ribosomal RNA", at positions 355 to 776 of the family's 1533-position model. The record is from RNAcentral.